Molecule: ribosomal RNA, 586 nt
Filed under: uncultured bacterium
Lineage: Bacteria
Description: bacterial SSU rRNA
Rfam family: Bacterial small subunit ribosomal RNA
Source: RNAcentral
CCUACGGGAGGCAGCAGUGGGGAAUUGUUCGCAAUGGGCGCAAGCCUGACGACGCAACGCCGCGUGGAGGAUGAAGGUCUCCGGAUUGUAAACUCCUGUUGCCCGGGACGAAAAGCUCCGACCUAACACGUCGGAGUCUGACGGUACCGGGUGAGGAAGCCCCGGCUAACUCUGUGCCAGCAGCCGCGGUAAUACAGAGGGGGCUAGCGUUGUUCGGAAUUACUGGGCGUAAAGGGCGCGUAGGUGGCCUGUUAAGUCGAACGUGAAAUCCCCGGGCUCAACCCGGGAACUGCGUCCGAGACUGGCAGGCUCGAAUCCGGGAGAGGGAUGUGGAAUUCCAGGUGUAGCGGUGAAAUGCGUAGAUAUCUGGAGGAACACCGGUGGCGAAGGCGGCAUCCUGGACCGGUAUUGACGCUGAGGCGCGAAAGCCAGGGGAGCAAACGGGAUUAGAUACCCCGGUAGUCCUGGCCCUAAACGAUGAAUGCUUGGUGUGGCGGGUAUCGAUCCCUGCCGUGCCGAAGCUAACGCAUUAAGCAUUCCGCCUGGGGAGUACGGUCGCAAGGCUGAAACUUAAAGGAAUUGACGG